AAGAGCCGCUUAAAGCAGCUGGUUUUAAGAUAUUGCGCUUAGACGGGUCAAUGAAUGCAAAAAAGAGAUGCCAGGUCAUUAAAGAGUUUGAAAUCCCAGCUCCGGAGGGGCCUACCAUCUUGCUUGCAAGUCUAAAAGCUUCAGGUGCUGGAAUAAAUCUUACAGCUGCUUCUAGAGUCUAUCUAAUGGAACCUUGGUGGAAUCCCGCAGUUGAGGAGCAAGCUAUGGACAGAGUCCAUAGAAUUGGACAGAAGGAAGAUGUGAAGAUUGUGAGGAUGAUUGCACGAAGCACCAUUGAAGAACGGAUACUGGAACUGCAGG
This 321-nucleotide unclassified non-coding RNA is filed under the name Hevea brasiliensis (rubber tree). The record is from RNAcentral. Lineage: Eukaryota; Viridiplantae; Streptophyta; Magnoliopsida; Malpighiales; Euphorbiaceae.